ACUGGUGACGAUAGUGGAGGGGUCCCACCCGAUCCCAUUCCGAACUCGGAAGUUAAGCCCUCUAACGCCGAUGGUACUGCAGCUCCUGGCUGUGGGAGAGUAGGUCAUCGCCAGUC
RNAcentral lists this ribosomal RNA (116 nucleotides) under Alcanivorax sp. The record is from RNAcentral. RNAcentral also lists the same sequence under 1 other name. Lineage: Bacteria; Pseudomonadati; Pseudomonadota; Gammaproteobacteria; Oceanospirillales; Alcanivoracaceae.